This is a long non-coding RNA of Pseudopipra pipra, 1433 nucleotides long. RefSeq lists it as uncharacterized. The record is from RefSeq and is a predicted model, not a curated record. Lineage: Eukaryota; Metazoa; Chordata; Aves; Passeriformes; Pipridae. The transcript has 2 exons.
AGACAUGUCCUUUUUGUUUUGGUGCUCUGGUGUACAGAGGCUGAGGACAGAGCAAGGACAAAUCUCCUGCUUUUAAUUUUGCUGAGGGUGUAAAAUGAGUCGAGGCUUUCUGCAGUCACUAUUCUAUUCAUAUCUUUUGUGUCCGAUGCUAUUUUUGUUGGCUGUGCCCCUGGAGGUGGAGGUGUGGAAGUGCGUUUCUGCUGGUCUUUGCAAGCGGUGUAGAUGUUUCCUCUGUUCCAGGCACCACCUCAGACGCUGCGGCCUUACAGGAGGAGUAGGCGGAUGUCAGCGUGGCCAUUUCUCACCUGUCUGUAACUUUUUAAUACUUCCUUUUACUUGGCUUUGCAUUUCUUCCAUGGAACGAACAUCUCUGGGUAGCCACUGGGAGGUGUAAACGGCUUGGGAUGGAAACCACAGCUUGUAGGUGCGCCCUCUGCCAGGCUUUUCUGGCACCCGAGGAAGCCCAGUCUCUGCCUGCUUCCAAGCGAAAUGGAUAUUACCAGCUGCUCGGUGAGAAAACAAAUUCACAGAGAUACAGGAAAGUGUGUUAAGUUGGUGGGAAGCAACGGGCAUGAGAUUCCUGGCAGCUCGGGUGACUGGCAUUAUUUUGGAACCCAAUUCUCAAACAUCUGGGAUUAGCUCUCCUGGAAAUGUGAGGAUGUGGGCCCUCUAGUGCCACUUGGAAAAUGUCAGUAUUCCAGCCCACAGUCUGCAAGGGAGGUGUUAUUUGGCAAGUAACUAGAGCUUAAUCAGCAGUUUGGGACCACCUUCAAGUGGUCAAGGAGAAAAACAAAUCAAAUUUUCUUUUUCAGGUCUCCUGCAUUUGGCUGGUCCAACUGGAUAAUAGGUCCAGCAGUAACUCCUAGCAACAGGAAUUCUUCCCCUUCAGUGGUUGCUUGAUGUCCUGUGUGGAAUGAGAGUUCAGCCAAUGGUAUAGGCACUUCUUAGUGGACAAGUAUCUACUCAUGUAAUUCUGCAGUAACUGGUGUCUCCAUGUCUGCCAUUCUCCCUUGCCAGCCCAGCAGAGAUAACUGAAGUUACCUGGAAAUAAAUUUCUCCAUCAAGUGUCCUAGCUGAGGCUUUGCUGCAAUAACAGCACAUGCACAACUUGUGGUGCUUAGUUUAUCUUUGGAUGGACAAUUGCUAUCUCCAGGCCUACAGAGUAAGCAUUGUUAGAUAUAUUAAAAUAAUUUUUAAAAAGUCUUCUGACUCCAAAGUUCAUAGCCUUUCAGUUUAUGUAUAUCCAGCUGGGAAAUCAUGCCCACUAAUUUUUACUGAAGUUUGCAGUUGAUUGACCCACCAGUACAAUGCCAGGAUGCUGGGUAGACUUGUACAGCUCCUCCGAAGUUCAGGUGCAUUCAAAAUACAUGGCUCAAGGAUGACCAGUCUGUUACCUCUAAUAUCAUUGAUGGCUAAAACACCUACAGAUUCAA